CGCAUCUGUGCAUGCAGCAUAUCAAUAAGCGGAGGAAAAGAAACUAACAAGGAUUCCCCUAGUAACGGCGAGUGAAGCGGGAAGAGCUCAAAUUUGAAAUCUUAAAGGGUUUCCCUUUACGAAUUGUAGUUUAAAGAAGUGUUUUCUGUUGAGGUUUUGGUAAAAGUUCUUUGGAAUAGGACAUCAUAGAGGGUGAGAAUCCCGUAUUUGACCUUUACUUUCAACUUUGUGAUACACUUUCAAAGAGUCGGAUUGUUUGGGAAUGCAGUCCAAAAUGGGUGGUAAAUUUCAUCUAAAGCUAAAUAUUGGCGAGAGACCGAUAGCGAACAAGUACCGUGAGGGAAAGAUGAAAAGAACUUUGAAAAGAGAGUUAAACAGUACGUGAAAUUGUCAAAAGGGAAGCGUUUGACACCAGUGUUGUUUUUCUGAAAAUCAAUUAAAGAACUGUUUAUGCUAAGCUGUUUAGACUUUAUCAGCUAACUGUUUAGUUUUGAGCUUUUCUUUAAUGCACUUUUCAGUUAACAAGUCAACAUCAAUUUCUUUUGCUGUAAAAAAGCUUGAGGAAGGUGGCUUGAGAUUCGUCUUAAGUGUUUAUAGCCUCUUGCCUAUGCAGUCGGAGAGAUUGAGGUCUGCAGCGUAGAUCCUUCGGGGCUAAAUGCAUUUGUGCUAAGUUAUAGCAUUUCAUAGACAACUUGUUGACUAUGAUUUGUCUUGUAGCUUACUCGCUUAUGUUAUUUUACCUACGCUUAGGAUGUUGACAGCAGUAUAGACUGU
This 774-nucleotide ribosomal RNA is filed under the name uncultured Neocallimastigales. RNAcentral's name for it is "partial large subunit ribosomal RNA". It matches the Rfam family "Eukaryotic large subunit ribosomal RNA", at positions 26 to 637 of the family's 3401-position model. Lineage: Eukaryota; Fungi; Neocallimastigomycota; Neocallimastigomycetes; Neocallimastigales. The record is from RNAcentral.